GUUUCUGAAUCAGUUGCAGUGGCCUGCUUUCCCCGCCCUUCCCAUCAGUCGGGAAGCCUGGACUGUGGGCUGGGGGAAGCCACAGCCUUUCCCACCUGGCACCCAUUGCCCCCUGCCCUUGGUACCUGUUCUAAGCCCUGGAGCCCCUUAAAGCUGCCAGCGAAGCCCUAGAAGACUGUAUCUCGGUACUUGAACAGGGACAUUCCUGAAUUGGUAAAGAAGGGACUAGCUCAGCCUCUCCUGGCAGUGGAUCGGCUAUGCUGUGCCUAACCAGAAUUGAAAAGUCAGGAGACAGAGUUAGAAGAAGGUUGAGACUUUGAGGACCUCCCACCUGGCUCAGGACCCUGUGAUCAGAGCCAGAUUUCACACUGAGCAGCUGCAGACGGAGAAAUCAGAGAAAGCACAAGCCAGCCACAGAUUCCAGGGCCUGCGGGAGACUCUCCUCCCGCUCAGAAGGAAGACACCGAGGCGACCGUCUCAGGCCAGGUCUUGCUGCCAUGGGACCCACGGCUGCCGCCCAUUGGCUGCCCUCCGCACUGCCGGGCAGAUAAGGGGGAGCCCUGCCCGGAGCACCUGCCAGCACCCGGCCACUCCCCCGAGGCCAGCCCUCCUCACUCCGGGCUCCCUCUGCUGACCUGAGGCCAUGUAGGCCCUCCUCGGACCUCUGUGAGCACACACACCUCUGGGGACUCACAUCUGUUCUCUGCGAGACCCAGCGCACCACCAUGCCCCAGGGACUCGCCUGGCUGCGCUAUCUUGGGAUCCUCCUCGGCAUGGCCUUGGGAAAUGAGGGCUUGGAGCCGUGGCCCUUGACCCAGAGCGACGAGUGCGCCGUCACUGGCUUCCUGCGGGACAAGCUGCAGUACCGGAACCGCCUUCAGUACAUGAAACACUACUUCCCCAUCAACUACAGGGUCAGUGUGCCUUAUGAGGGGGUGCUCCGAACAGCCAACGUCACCAGGCUGCAGCGGGCCCGGGUGAGCCAGCAGGAGCUUCGGUAUCUGUGGGUCCUGGUGAGUCUCAGUGCUACUGAGUGGGUGCAGGAGGUGCUGCUCGAGGGCCACCCGUCCUGGAAGUACCUGGAGGAAGUGCACACGCUACUGCUGGACGUCAAGCAGGGCCUGCGGGGUGUGGAGGUCAGCCCCCAGGUGGAAGCAGCGUUGAACCUCCUGAGUGCGCCGGGAAGCCUGAAGCUGGUGCGGCCCAAAGCGCUGCUGGAUAACUGCUUCCGGGUCAUGGAGUUGCUCUACUGCCCUUGCUGUAAAGAAAGCUCUGUGCUAAACUGGCAGGACUGUGAGGCGCCUCAGCCUCAGCCUCGAAGCCCAGCCUCAGCACAGUGUGAGGCCGCCCAGCUGUACCCUCUGCCCCAGCCGCCCUCCACCUCCCUGCCCCGCGUCCUGGGACCCUCGGCUGGCCCCCCUGCUCAGUGAAGGUGCUGAGGGCACAGGGCGAAGGCUUCCUGCCCGGAGGUGCCUAGGGUGACCUGGGGGGCAGCUGGAGGAGCCCCUGCAAGAGAUGGACUGGGCCCGAGAUUUCGGGUGGUGGUGGGGAGCACCUCCGGAGAGGAGGCCCCUGAAGUGUUUUCCUUUGAGGACAGAGCCUGAGAAGCGUGCAGCUCCCCCUCCUGUGGUCUCGCCAGGAGCGGCAGGGGCCGGGGCACCUGAAGGUCGAUGAAGGCAGACUAUGGCUGCUCCUGGCCCUGCCUGGGCUGCCCCUUCCCCGAGAGCAGUGCCGACCUUCUGAGUCAGGCGGUGGGAACUAUACCAGCCCCAAGACCACCCCCAGCAGGGACGAAACUGCGGUGCUCAGACACAUGGGUCCUGGCACAAGAUCUGGCCACUCCAGCCCUGCCCACACGGAGCCCUGCGCUCCUCGGCUGGGGGCGAAGGCGGCGGAGGAAGCCAGUAGACAGCGGUGUUAAUUACAGUACAACUUUAUUAAUACUGGGAUCUUCACAGUGCAUUUGUUACUUGUAGCAGUGACUAUUUAAAUCAAGGGGAGGGUGGGCUGCGGAGGUGGGUGGGGGGGAAGGAGAGGAUAAUUUAUCCAAAAACAGACAGAAGAGAAACAAAAUGGUUUAGAUGGGAUAGGGGCACCGGGCAGGGCGGGUGGUGGAGGGGAGACACAGUGAGUGGGAACCAGAAGGGGAGGUCUAGGGAGGGGAAAUAAAUUAAAAAAAGGAACAAGUUAACAACAGCACCAGAAAAGUUACUUCAGUCAAAAGACGCUUUGAAUAGAGUAUUUCUCUGUACAAAAAGAAAAAAAUGAAACAAAGGUAAAGAAGUUCCCCAAACCAAAGUUUGUAACAUGGGAUGGUUGGCUCGGAUCCUGAAGGGGCAGGCCUACUUGGCGGUCACUAGAGGGAUGAGGCGGUCAAGGGGGUGGAGGAGCUAUGUACAGCCCUGGGGGCGGCCUGGAGGGGGAGCCCGCAGUCUAGGUGAGGGGUGCCUGUGCCAUGCCCACCCCCCUGGGGUCCCCGAGGCCACACCCCUCCUCCGGGCAAGCUCUCACGGGACCCAGGGUCCCCCCCCUCCCCGCCACUGCCCCUUACCCUGCUCACAUCAGAUAACCUGCGUCUUCAAUCAGCCCACCUGGACAAACCCUUGGGGUACACUCUGCCCCAAGCCUCCAAGUGCAGGCCGUCUGCUCCCCCGGCCCUCCUCCAGGUGUGGUGCGCUCAGCUCAGCGAGGCUCCUUUCUCCCACCUAGCGACUUACAGGUACCGUCCUCCACCCACCUCUGGGGAGCCCCUCAGAGGCAUCCCUGGUUCCCCACACCCGCCUGGGGGCCAUGCCUAGACCCGUUUCUGGAACAAGAACUACCAGGAGCCCCGGGUCCAUCCAGACCAGGAAGAGCCAGCUCUUCUGACCCCAGGAGCCCCUGCCCCGUGACCCUGCCAGCAUGGCCGCUCUCGGCAGGCCUGCGGGUCAUAGGAAGCCCUCCGCUUGCCCUUGGCACACGUGCUUUUACCUGCUUAGAGUUGGCGCAACAUACUGUGCGGGUGGAGGGGUGCACUCCCCCACCUCAGUCCUGCCACCCGGGACCACCCUGGAAUGGCAUCCCCUCUGACAACAGAGUCAGAGCCAAUCUCCCCCAGCAGCCCUCCCCCUUUGGCCUGCAGCAAACGGGCGGGAGGCCCAGCCCCUGGCCCCUUCCCAGCGCAUUGUGGCUUUGCUCUGGACACUGCAGGGAACACUGCCCCUGCCCCUGGCCCCGGGAGCCGAGCCGGCUCUCGUUGUCCUCCCACGGCCGUCAGGCCACCGCAGGGCCCUCUGUCCCUCAGGCACUCUUGGACACACCCUGUACCGGCUACCCUGUCCCCACACGCAGUCCUUGUUCGGUCAGCUCACUUUAUUACAUAUUCAUAGAAGAACCCACCCCCCACCCUCUCCAGUUUCAGUCCCUGACCCAAAGGUGGCUGAAACUGUCACCAGAGUCAGAGUCCCCACGUGCCCAGAUGACGAUGGGAUUCUGAGCAGCUCCUGGGAGCCCGGGAAGCCGACAGCCUGGCCUCCACCACCUUCCCUGCUGCCCUGCCCCGCCCCAGCCACACGUGCAGGCAGGGAAGCUGUCUCAGGGCCCCCACCCUCCUCUGGGUAGGCACCCUGCACGUCCUCCCCAAGAGACUCGACUUGGGCCCCAGGCCCCCGUCCCCAGUGGGUGGGCUGGCUCCUAACUUCACUGGCCCCCCCAAAUGGCCAGCUGCUCUGUGGAGCCUUCGGGUUAAACCAGACACUAGCCCUGGCCCCUCCAUGGACCCCGCCUCCCUGAUGGAGGAGAGCCUGGGAGACGCAGAGACGGGUGACGGCGGGUGAUGGAGAGGGAUGUGGGGGGCCCUGGCCAGGGGCGUGGGACCACUGUCCCUGGGGAGACGGGGAGGCGCUGGGCCUAGCUGCCUGAGCAGUGCACUGCGGGCCCCGCCAGGCAGGUGGGCCCCUCCGCUGGGGGCACGAGCACAGCUCUGUGGCUCGCCCGAGUGGGGAAAGGGCAGAGCCGGGCAGGAGGGAGAGGAAGGGUAGAGUAGGCAAGAAAAGGUUGAAACAGGCUUCAAAUCCAGUUCAAAGCCCGCAGGCUCCUUCCUGGCACGGUCUAAGAAGUCACUUCCUGUUUAAACCAUGAAAUCCAAGCUGGGUUUCUCCUCAAGCUGGGUUUCUCCUCCCAAUAAAGUGGCUUUGACUCGUGUGACUUAAAAAAAAAAAAGCUCGCCUGGCUCUGCUCACUCCUGACUGUGCCUUUGCUGUGAGCCGCCGCUGCCCAUCGGCCAGGUCCCCUGCCUCGCCUGGCCGGGGGCCGGGAGGGAGGGAGGCGCCAU
Non-coding RNA from Odocoileus virginianus texanus, 4312 nucleotides. Lineage: Eukaryota; Metazoa; Chordata; Mammalia; Artiodactyla; Cervidae. The record is from RefSeq and is a predicted model, not a curated record.